Molecule: non-coding RNA, 157 nt
Organism: Pimephales promelas (fathead minnow)
Lineage: Eukaryota; Metazoa; Chordata; Actinopteri; Cypriniformes; Leuciscidae
Source: RefSeq, a predicted model, not a curated record
CGGAGUGGCGCUGGCGCAUGCGCAGAGGAAACCCAAACGGUGUGUGUAAUGGCUGCCUGAUGGAGGGCGCAGCCCACGACGAAAUCUAACCGCGUGAAGUGAUUAAACAACAUUUGAAAUUGAGGCCUGUUUGGUGCCCUACUGGUCAUGGCAAUGA